GAUUGCAAUCAAAUCCUCUCUGCAAUCGCGGCUG
Molecule: non-coding RNA, 34 nt
Organism: Bacteroides sp. CAG:144
Lineage: Bacteria; Pseudomonadati; Bacteroidota; Bacteroidia; Bacteroidales; Bacteroidaceae
Source: Rfam